Molecule: unclassified non-coding RNA, 351 nt
Filed under: uncultured Rhizaria
Lineage: Eukaryota
Description: sequence contains 5.8S rRNA gene, ITS2, 28S rRNA gene
Source: RNAcentral
AACGCAAAUUGCGCUCUCGGGAUAGGCCUGGGAGCACGCCUCUUUGAGCAUCGAUUCAACAACAACUCAGCUUCUUGCUUUUGUGUUUUCACAAGGCGAGAACGCUGGAAAUUGAGAUUCUUGCGACUGCGAGAUUCUUUAAAUGUGUCGAGCUUGCCUGAGUCGACGAACUGUCAGCUCGGCGGAUGAGAUGCAGGAUAUUUUCACACUCUGUGUGAAUUCCAUGCAGCUUCUUCGUUGCUGUUUGACUCGUCUGUCUUCUCACUAAGGCAGCGGUUCCUUGGCGGCUUCGGCUGCUAAGACAUCUUUGAACUAGAUCUCAAAUGAAGCGAGAAUACCCGCCGAACUUAA